GACGAACGCUGGCGGCGUGCUUAACACAUGCAAGUCGAACGGUGAAGCGCCUUCCUUUUUGGUGGGUGUGGAUGAGUGGCGAACGGGUGAGUAACACGUGAGUAACCUGCCCCCUUCUUCUGGAUAACCGCAUGAAAGUGUGGCUAAUACGGGAUAUUCUGGGUCUGUCGCAUGAUGGGUCUGGGAAAGAUAUUGUUUCGGUGGGGGAUGGGCUCGCGGCCUAUCAGCUUGUUGGUGGGGUGAUGGCCUACCAAGGCGGUGAGGGGUAGCCGGCCUGGGAGGAUGGGCGGCCACAGUGGGAAGGAGACGCCGCGACGACUCCUACAGGCGGCAGCAGGGGAGAGUAUGGAACGGUGGGCGGAAGCCUGAAGCAGCGACGCGGCGGGGGUGAUGGAGGCCUUCGGGUUGUGAACCUCUUUCGCGAGUGAAGCAGGCCUGCAUCGUUUGUGGGUGGGUUGACGGUAGCUGGAUAGGAAGCGCCGGCUAACUACGUG
RNAcentral lists this ribosomal RNA (494 nucleotides) under uncultured bacterium. RNAcentral describes it as "partial 16S ribosomal RNA". It matches the Rfam family "Bacterial small subunit ribosomal RNA", at positions 28 to 507 of the family's 1533-position model. The record is from RNAcentral.